Passer domesticus (house sparrow) is the source of this 2739-nucleotide long non-coding RNA. RefSeq lists it as uncharacterized. The transcript has 6 exons. NCBI's taxonomy places the organism in Eukaryota, Metazoa, Chordata, Aves, Passeriformes, Passeridae. The record is from RefSeq and is a predicted model, not a curated record.
UCCCCUUUUUGCUUUGCUUGCCUGUGCAGCUUUUGCUUUGCCUAUUAAGUGGUCUUUAUGGGAACUCAUGAGUUUUCCAGCUUUUACCCUUCUGAUUCUCUCCUCAAUCCAACUGGUGGAGAGUGAGUGGCUGCCUGGGGCUUGGUUGCUGGCUGGGGUUAAACCAUGACAGCCAGUCAACACCAGCUGUUGAGGCUGGACAUCAGGUCACAAAGGAAUCAAGUUAGAGCUCUUUCUGCUGAGACUGAAAUAAUCUAUGUGAUUUUAUGGAAUCAGUCCAGCCAAGUCAAUCCAGUUGCUGCAUCCUGGAAAUUCUUGUUACUGUGUGAAUUCUUACAGUCCUCAUUUGGGCUGCCAGUUUUGAGAACAGUUUGUAAAGAUGGUGUGACAGUUGUCCUGAAUGAAUCUCUGGAGAUGAAAAGACAUGUCCAGUUUUCUUUUGGUGGUGCUGAUAUUGGUUUGCUGGGCUCCUUUCAUGCUUCUGGCCUAGGUGACACCUGUUACUUGCUGCUUGGAAAGGGAAUGUGAAGGUCAAUUAUUGGUUGUCUGGUUGGAGUGAUAACUGGAGAUCUCUACUUCAAAAUUCAGGCAGUCUUUGCAGCAGGAGCGAAGACAUGGAGAUGUCUUUGAGGAGGACACCUAUGGCACACCUAUUUUUGGACUUGUCACCCAAAAAAAAGCUCACACCGAGGGCUGGUUGACUGGUUUACCUAGUCCAAGGGAAGAAGUGUGAUAGGUCUUGAGAAACAGCAGAGUACUUUUCAAAGGAAUAGGUGGAAAGCCCUCUGAAAACAUUGUCUGCGCCGAUUCCUGUACCGAAUCCUUUCCAGCGCUAGGGGCAGACCUGGAGCCCUUUUAGCUCCUGGUAGCAGGAGAGUUCACCUUCUCCCUUCUGUCCGUUUUGUACGAAUCUGCCAUCUCCAUGUCACCAGUGCAAGAGAUUUACUUGAAAAUUAAUGCCAAGAGCCACUGGCUGCUCCAGGUGCACCUUAAUUCCACACUGGGAUGUACCUCAGGCUUCACAGGAAAAGAGAGUUUCACAGAAGAAUCCAAAGGAGGAUAGAGAGAUGGCUGCAGAUAUUUAUGGGAAGUUCUUCCCACACAUGAAGGUAGCCUGGGAGAAAUGCAAAGCAAGUUCAUAUAUGGACAUUGAAAGCUGACACUAUCUGAUCAGACCUGCUUCUUCAAGCAAAUCAGCGAAAAAAGAUAAUAAUACCUUAGAUAAUAAAUAAAAUAACAUGGGUGAGUUCCAUGUGCAGCAGUGUUUUUGAGCCUGAGGUCCUUAGACCCAGAACAGUUUUAAAUGAAAAGAUGUCACCAAUCAAACUGUAGAAUAACUUGUUGCAAGUAUGUCUCGGUGGAUGUCAGGUAUCUUGAAAGGAUUUAUGUAGUACUUUAUGUAAAUACUACACUUUUACUUUAUGGAAAUGUCUUGCUGAUUGCUAUGAACUUUUUUGAGAUACAUCCUGGAGAUAACAAUGCAGGUGUCUUUUAUCAUGUGCAAAGGAUCUUGUCAAGGAGUCUUCCAUUUGUAUCCUUCCAUGCCUAGGCUGAAGCAGUGGUGUAGUGUGUUUUUUCCAUGAGAUAGAGUGUGAGAAUGUGAGUCUAUCAUUCUGCAGUUCUUUAGUUCCCGGUGCCUGUAAGGGUACUUAAGGUGACUAUGAGAACUCCAGCACAAAAUCUGCUAGAAUGUUUAGGUAGGUGUUAUAUUACUUGCUCCUUAACAGGUCUCGUCUAAUAAAACAAAGCUGUCAUGAAAAUUUUCUUCCCUAAUGAGUUGUGCUGGUUUGGAAUGGCCACUCAUGUGCAAGAGUCAGCAUCUGUCCUACACUUACAAAGCUCUAUCUGCCUCAUCCGUGACCAGUGGCAGGGAAUCUUAUCAUCAACUUGAACUUUGGAUCAGACCCUGAAGGGCCCUCUGGAUUUACUGAGGCCAACAAGUUUAGAACUACCUGGUUACUUAUUCAUUAAAUGGGAUUUUUCAUUGCGUGUUGGCAAUAACCCUUUUUUGUUUGUUUGUUUUAAAUAAUUUCCCCCCCUAUCAUAUCAUGAGUGUUGUCACUGUAUGAGCCAAAGGUUUUGCCAGAGUUCCUGCUCAUGGAGGAAGAGACCUUUCCUGAUGGCUCUUAGUGAUGGUGCUGGACCCAACUGCACCUGAGGAGCAAAGCCUGAUGUUCCAGAGGUAACACCAAGCACAAAACCCCCUGCAAUUCCUGAACAAUUGUAGCACACUGGUCCUUGUUAUCUGUGCUAUGUAAAUACCACAUGGUCCUGCCUACAGAGAAAGAACCAACAACCACUGAAGAUCACAAGAACAUGGGAAGAUCCAAAAUUAAUUUAUAUGAUAUGUUCAGUAUGACAGCUUGCAAUUGUCAUUGCUUUAUUCAAUAAAUUAUACAUCCUCUCUUUAAACAAAUACACAUAGAAAUUUAAAAAAAAUCCUAAAUACUCUAGUAAUCUAUGGCUUGUGAGCAUUAGUGCCUUUUCCUAAAUGGUUGGAAAAAGGAGUCAGACCCCUUGAUCCAUUCAGUAAAAUGAAGUACAUCAAAUUUUAGCUGUGAGAGAGAUUCUUAGAUUCACUUCUAAUUAAUUCAGUGGGAGCAAAACUGAUUGUGGGGAAUGAUGCAGAGGAGAUGUGAGAAAACUCCUGGAAAUAACUUGCAGUAAUAAAGAUAAUAAAAUGAGGUCUUGAAGUACAUCUAAUUUCUAUUCUAAGUCUAUUGCUAUCAGAUCCAGCAU